This is a long non-coding RNA of Gavialis gangeticus (Gharial), 1835 nucleotides long. RefSeq lists it as uncharacterized. The record is from RefSeq and is a predicted model, not a curated record. The transcript has 4 exons. NCBI's taxonomy places the organism in Eukaryota, Metazoa, Chordata, Crocodylia, Gavialidae.
CUGCCUGGUAAGGGGAACUUUAACCACAAAACUUCCCCAGUGCUGAAGUGGCCCUAAGAAACAGCAAUACCGAGGACUUGCUGUUGAAUGUGUUAAACCACAUGUGUUAAACCAGUUGGAGAACAUGGCAGGGCAGAGCCAGUGAACUGAUCCCUCCUGCACAGCCUGCAGGAAGGGGAAACCCAAGCCUGCCAGCUCUAGAGCAAGGCUGUCACAGCAAGGAGAGGCUGGCUCUGGACUCUUUCUGCUAUGCAGCAUCCAGAGUCAUGGCAAAUAGGGCUGGAUUGCUGGAGCCGCCCUUCCCCUAUCAGGAAGGCUGUCCAGCCCUGCUCAAGUCAGCUGGAAAACACCUGGCACAGAACCCAUCUUCCAGGCUUGAUCCUAUACCUCAGUUGCAUCCGAUGCCCCCAGCCUGCAUGGAGCCUCACCCACUUAUACUCUUCAGCCAUGAUGCCUGCUGACUGUUGUUCCACUAAACAGAUUCCAGAGCCCAUUUUCCUCAAGCUUUUGAUCAAUUCCUUUGGGUUUGGUUUUUAUUUUGUUGUGAUGGCAAUUAUUGUACCGUAAGGUUUUGGGGUGUUUUUGCAGUGGGAAAGCACUUUGCAAAUAAGAGUCUGGUUCUCAUGUACAAACCAAACCUUUUUUGGAGACUUCUGGAAGCUGAGACAAGCCACAGUUGCAGAACAGCAUAAUUGUUAAUGAGCUAAGGGUAAACUACUAAAAGGGACAGAUCCAUAGAGGAGGAGCAAAAUUUGCUGGAGUCACAAGCAGAUUUUGUAUGGCAGGGGCUGGCAACUUUUUACAAGCCCCAGGAUGGAACAAUUUGGUUCUGGUCAAAUGCAGGCUGAGUGGCUUUGGCAAUGUGUCAAUAGCAGAGGGCUUCCCCAGCUCCCACUGGAGCCAGGCAGCUGGGAGCUUCUGCUUCUUCUCCCAGCCCCUCACUCCUUGGCCAUGCGGCAGGCAGUUUCCAGCUGGUGGGGAGCUAUGUCAGGGCCAGGCACCUGCAAACUGCAUCCAUGCUGCUGCCACUUCUUCCUGCUCCCCCUCCCUAUUCCAUCCCCUGGCUGCAGCAUGGCCACAGCUGGAAGCUGUCCAGCCCCAAUGCAACUCCCCACCUGUUGGAAACUGCACUUAUGCCACAACUGGAGGAAGUAGAAGUGGCAGCAGUGCAGAGGCUGCCUGGCCCUGGCACAGUUCUCCAUGGGUUGGAAGCUGUGCCUGGACCCUAACCAGGGCAUUGUGGGGGGAUGCUGAGAGAAGCAGUGGCAGUGUGGAAGCAGCUCCCAGCUUCUCGGCUCUGGAGCAAAUGCAGGGGAAGCCCCUGCUGCUGGCACAUUGCCGAAGCCACGCAGCCCAUGUUGGACUGGAGCUGAGAGGUUAGGGAGAAGCGGCAGAGGUGCAGGCACAGCUAGAAGCUUUCCCAGUCUUGGAACAGCUCCUUGCUGCCUGGCCCCAGCAUAGGUAUAUGGUCAUGGACACAGGGCAAAGCUCUUCAACUCUGCGGGCCACAUCCAGUGACUCCUUGGGCUGGAUCAGGCCAGAUGUUAUUAACCCCUGUGCUAUGGUGUAUUUCAGGAUCUACGGCAGCUAGGAGCACAAAGUGUUAAUAAGAUCAGGAAGUCUGUAUUCCAGACCUGACGUAGUGGAGAGUUGGUUUACUGCGCAUAGGCAGGUAACGUGCAAGCUUUCCCCCUGCCCAGCUCUUACAUUGUACCUCCAUCCGACCUGACAAUUCCCUCUUGUGUUACAGGCCUGGGCCUCUCAGCAGCAGAGGAUGCUAAUCGGACCGAAAUGUGGGGGAUUUUUCUGGCACGUGGUAUUCUAGGAAUGAGGCA